Molecule: unclassified non-coding RNA, 431 nt
Filed under: Hevea brasiliensis (rubber tree)
Lineage: Eukaryota; Viridiplantae; Streptophyta; Magnoliopsida; Malpighiales; Euphorbiaceae
Source: RNAcentral
CUGAAAACAUAUUGUUCUCAAUGCUCCUGAAUAAAUUCUCCCUCAAGAUUAUCACAGGCUAAUCAAAUAGAGUAAACAAAUUUACACUAAAAAAUGAUAAAAGAGAAAUGGAUAGAGCUAUCAUACAAGGCUUUAAGUGUAAUAAUGUUUCCUAGAUAGCUUGGGAUUUGUCCUGUCAAGCGGUUAACAGAAAGGGACCACUAAGGUAGUUACGAGUGAGAUCAAGUUUCUUGAGGUAAGGUAAUUUUACAAUGGCACGAGGCAGCACACCAGCAAUAUCUUGCGCUUUGAGAAGUAUGCUUUCAACAUGGCAUUCACCUCCUAUAUAGGAACAAUUGCAAAUUACACUAUUGCUGUAAUAAGGCAUAUCGUUCGAUUGUGGUGUCACCCAAUUUGUGUCAUUACUACAAGGAUCUACUUUAAAGUUCCAA